UUGAUUGUGGUCCACCGGUGUUGAUUAGGCUAAUUAUCUGACGCGCUCCUCCCGAACCUUGUUAAUAAAACAUCAUUUAUUUAUGAUCUAGAAUUUGGCAUGCAAAGAAAACCCAGACUAUAAAUAGAGUGUGUGGUUGUGAGAGACGUUCAGAAACACUGGGCAGACUUCUAGAAUGGCUCUGACAGUGAUUAGUUUUCUGUGCUUUGCUGCCUUUCCCAGGGCUUGGACUGCCUGCAGACUCAGGCAAGCUGGUAUAGGUACCCGUAAGAGUGACUGUCAUUAAUGAGUUCACUAAUGAGCAGAUCUCCUACUCCACUGCUGUAAUAGAGGAAGGGCUGAUGUUUGGUGCCAUAAAUCAACUGCAGGACACACGAUUUCAAGUACUCCACAAAAUUUUACUAAAUUUACUGAUUUAGUGCACUUCACAUGCAGUAAAGUGAUUGUAGUAUAGAAUACCUGAUUAACUUUGGUUGUGAUUUACUUACUGGUUGUAAUGAAUGACAACCAGUAAGGUGCCUUGAGGUGCCUUGCUCAAGGGCACCUCAGUCGUGGUAUUGCCGGCCCGAGCCUCGAACCCACAACCUUAGGGUUAGGAGUCAAACUCUCUAACCACUAGGCCAUGACUUCGCCCCAUGAAUAAGAUUAUGGGGAAAUAGGGUUUAUCUGGGAUAUGCCUGAGAUGCUUUUCCAGUCAUAUUGUACCUGACUCAACAAUUGUCUUGACAUGCCAUUAGAAAGGCUUAGGGCUAACAAAAUAUUAAGAAAAUAGAAUGUGAAUUGAAUUUUUGUGAUAAUUUUUACCUUUAACUCUGUUAAAACAAUAGAUUCACAUACACUAUUCAUAAAACCUAUGGCAUAUAUCUGGAAAGUGUGAAUGGAUUGGCCGGAUCUGAUAAGGACCAGACAUACUGGGAGCUUCUGUCUGAAAAAGGAGGAGUUAUAACUCGACUGGAAUUUCACAUACAGUAUUAACGAAAGCUUUUGCAUAUAUCCGGAGAGUGUGAACGGACUGGCUGGAUCCACUGAAAACCACACAUAUUGGGAGCUUCUGUCGAAGAAAGGAAACAGAAUAACCCGACUGAAUGUGGGAAUUGGCCGCUACCAACAUGAACUUCACCACUUGGGACUAAAAGUUCCAACUUGGGACAUUUGUUUUCUGUUAUCAGUUAUAUUUUGUGGUUAUAAAAGGGAUCACUCUGAUUCGGAUCAACUAUAUUAAUGCCACAUAUUGUUUCAAUCAACAAGUGUAUGAAUAAACUAAUAAUUUCACUGGA
Long non-coding RNA from Cyprinus carpio (common carp), 1277 nucleotides. RefSeq lists it as uncharacterized. The transcript has 4 exons. The record is from RefSeq and is a predicted model, not a curated record. Lineage: Eukaryota; Metazoa; Chordata; Actinopteri; Cypriniformes; Cyprinidae.